AGAUGAAACUUAUUCGAAUCCUAGAGCUUGUGAGUUUUACUUUCCAUUUUAGCUUUGACUAAUUGAUUUUGGGGAUUCCAAUUUCCUACCCUGCAAAUGUAUUGUAAGGUUUUGGUUUCCUCUAAUGAAUAUCGAGAAUUUGUUAUAUUCACUGAA
Long non-coding RNA from Macadamia integrifolia, 156 nucleotides. RefSeq lists it as uncharacterized. The transcript is spliced from 2 exons. The record is from RefSeq and is a predicted model, not a curated record. NCBI's taxonomy places the organism in Eukaryota, Viridiplantae, Streptophyta, Magnoliopsida, Proteales, Proteaceae.